GGCCCCAUAAUCAAAAAUCUAAGUACAUGUUUAGAUUCAGCAUAUCAAAAAAGCCCAAGAAUUCAAUUUUUGUUAAAAUCAAACUUAGUUUUAUAUUGGACUCUUUGGACUUUAAUGUAGACCAAUUUGAAAACGGGACCAAAAAUUAAGAAUCUACAUACACAGUUAGAUUUGGCAUAUCAAAGAACCCCAAUUAUUCAAUUUUUG
Molecule: long non-coding RNA, 207 nt
Filed under: Mytilus galloprovincialis (Mediterranean mussel)
Lineage: Eukaryota; Metazoa; Mollusca; Bivalvia; Mytilida; Mytilidae
Source: RNAcentral